This 628-nucleotide ribosomal RNA is filed under the name uncultured Alphaproteobacteria bacterium. RNAcentral's name for it is "bacterial SSU rRNA". It matches the Rfam family "Bacterial small subunit ribosomal RNA", at positions 8 to 682 of the family's 1533-position model. The record is from RNAcentral. Lineage: Bacteria; Pseudomonadati; Pseudomonadota; Alphaproteobacteria.
AGAGUUUGAUCAUGGCUCAGAACGAACGCUGGCGGCAGGCUUAACACAUGCAAGUCGAACGCUCUCUUCGGAGAGAGUGGCAGACGGGUGAGUAACGCGUGGGAACCUACCUAGAGGUGCGGAAUAACUUGAGGAAACUCGUGCUAAUACCGCAUACGCCCUUCGGGGGAAAGAUUUAUCGCCUUUAGAUGGGCCCGCGUUGGAUUAGCUAGUUGGUGAGGUAACUGCUCACCAAGGCAACGAUCCAUAGCUGGUCUGAGAGGAUGAUCAGCCACACUGGGACUGAGACACGGCCCAGACUCCUACGGGAGGCAGCAGUGGGGAAUAUUCGGCAAUGGGCGCAAGCCUGACCGAGCCAUGCCGCGUGAGUGACGAAGGCCUUAGGGUUGUAAAGCUCUUUUGGCGGGGAAGAUAAUGACUGUACCCGCAGAAUAAGUCCCGGCUAACUUCGUGCCAGCAGCCGCGGUAAUACGAAGGGGACUAGCGUUGUUCGGAAUCACUGGGCGUAAAGCGCACGUAGGCUGAUAUUUAAGUUAGGGGUGAAAUCCCGGGGCUCAACCUCGGAACUGCCUCUAAUACUGGAUAUCUGGAGUCCGAGAGAGGUGAGUGGAAUUCCUAGUGUAGAGGU